RNAcentral lists this long non-coding RNA (255 nucleotides) under Sorghum bicolor (sorghum). Its description in RNAcentral is "long non-coding RNA (SBIC_LNC002287)". Lineage: Eukaryota; Viridiplantae; Streptophyta; Magnoliopsida; Poales; Poaceae. The record is from RNAcentral.
CAAGCCGUCUAGGAGGUGGCAACCUCCAAGAGUAACAAGCACCACCGGCUUGCAACACGAACACCUAGUGUCACUCGAUGCAAUCUCUCAAUGCAACGCACUAGAAUCGCUCACUCACACAAUCGGAUGAUCACUAUCAAGCAUAUGUGAGUUAGAGGCCUCACUAGCACUCCCCAAGCAUGGACACUAAGUUCCAAGGGUGCUCAGCACCAGCCAAGGCCGGCCACCACUUCUAUUUAUAGCCCCAAGGGCUAA